GCUGGGCAUGGUGGCUCACGCCUGUAAUCCCAGCACUUUGGGAGGCCGAGGCAGGUGGAUCACCUGAGGUCAGGAGUUUGAGACCAGCCUGACCAACAUGGUGAAACCCUGUCUCUA
Molecule: non-coding RNA, 117 nt
Filed under: Homo sapiens (human)
Lineage: Eukaryota; Metazoa; Chordata; Mammalia; Primates; Hominidae
Source: Rfam by way of RNAcentral